This 76-nucleotide transfer RNA is filed under the name Naumannella sp. ID2617S. RNAcentral describes it as "tRNA-Thr". It matches the Rfam family "tRNA". From Rfam's summary of the family: Transfer RNA (tRNA) molecules are approximately 80 nucleotides in length. Lineage: Bacteria; Bacillati; Actinomycetota; Actinomycetes; Propionibacteriales; Propionibacteriaceae. RNAcentral also lists the same sequence under 3 other names. The record is from RNAcentral.
GCCGCCUUAGCUCAGUAGGCAGAGCAACUCACUCGUAAUGAGUAGGUCGGGGGUUCGACUCCCCCAGGCGGCUCCA